Molecule: ribosomal RNA, 1441 nt
Filed under: uncultured bacterium
Lineage: Bacteria
Description: bacterial SSU rRNA
Rfam family: Bacterial small subunit ribosomal RNA
Source: RNAcentral
UGGCUCAGGAUGAACGCUAGCUACAGGCUUAACACAUGCAAGUCGAGGGGCAGCAUGGUCUUAGCUUGCUAAGGCCGAUGGCGACCGGCGCACGGGUGAGUAACACGUAUCCAACCUGCCGUCUACUCUUGGACAGCCUUCUGAAAGGAAGAUUAAUACAAGAUGGCAUCAUGAGUCCACAUGUUCACAUGAUUAAAGGUAUUCCGGUAGACGAUGGGGAUGCGUUCCAUUAGAUAGUAGGCGGGGUAACGGCCCACCUAGUCUUCGAUGGAUAGGGGUUCUGAGAGGAAGGUCCCCCACAUUGGAACUGAGACACGGUCCAAACUCCUACGGGAGGCAGCAGUGAGGAAUAUUGGUCAAUGGGCGAGAGCCUGAACCAGCCAAGUAGCGUGAAGGAUGACUGCCCUAUGGGUUGUAAACUUCUUUUAUAAAGGAAUAAAGUCGGGUAUGGAUACCCGUUUGCAUGUACUUUAUGAAUAAGGAUCGGCUAACUCCGUGCCAGCAGCCGCGGUAAUACGGAGGAUCCGAGCGUUAUCCGGAUUUAUUGGGUUUAAAGGGAGCGUAGAUGGAUGUUUAAGUCAGUUGUGAAAGUUUGCGGCUCAACCGUAAAAUUGCAGUUGAUACUGGAUAUCUUGAGUGCAGUUGAGGCAGGCGGAAUUCGUGGUGUAGCGGUGAAAUGCUUAGAUAUCACGAAGAACUCCGAUUGCGAAGGCAGCCUGCUAAGCUGCAACUGACAUUGAGGCUCGAAAGUGUGGGUAUCAAACAGGAUUAGAUACCCUGGUAGUCCACACGGUAAACGAUGAAUACUCGCUGUUUGCGAUAUACAGCAAGCGGCCAAGCGAAAGCGUUAAGUAUUCCACCUGGAGAGUACGCCGGCAACGGUGAAACUCAAAGGAAUUGACGGGGGCCCGCACAAGCGGAGGAACAUGUGGUUUAAUUCGAUGAUACGCGAGGAACCUUACCCGGGCUUAAAUUGCAGAUGAAUUACGGUGAAAGCCGUAAGCCGCAAGGCAUCUGUGAAGGUGCUGCAUGGUUGUCGUCAGCUCGUGCCGUGAGGUGUCGGCUUAAGUGCCAUAACGAGCGCAACCCUUGUUGUCAGUUACUAACAGGUUCCGCUGAGGACUCUGACAAGACUGCCAUCGUAAGAUGUGAGGAAGGUGGGGAUGACGUCAAAUCAGCACGGCCCUUACGUCCGGGGCUACACACGUGUUACAAUGGGGGGUACAGAGGGCCGCUACCACGCGAGUGGAUGCCAAUCCCAAAAACCUCUCUCAGUUCGGACUGGAGUCUGCAACCCGACUCCACGAAGCUGGAUUCGCUAGUAAUCGCGCAUCAGCCACGGCGCGGUGAAUACGUUCCCGGGCCUUGUACACACCGCCCGUCAAGCCAUGGGAGCCGGGGGUACCUGAAGUGCGUAACCGCGAGGAGCGCCCUAGGGUAA